This 393-nucleotide ribosomal RNA is filed under the name Triticum aestivum (bread wheat). RNAcentral's name for it is "partial small subunit ribosomal RNA". Lineage: Eukaryota; Viridiplantae; Streptophyta; Magnoliopsida; Poales; Poaceae. The record is from RNAcentral.
AUGGAGCUGCAUCUACUACUGAAUCCUCUCUGCAGCGAGCUCGCGGUUCCUGACGAACCCGACGUAGACUCUCUGAACAUGAGAUAUGUUGUCCUCUUCCGCCGUGGAAUCCAGGGUCAGCUCUUCAAGCGUGGCCACGUGUUCGAUCCCGCACGGCAACGACUUCAACUCCGGACAGAGCAGGAGCUUGAGAUCGACCAAGCUGGGCAUCGCCCCGCUUCUUAUCGUCAUCUGGCUGAGACGCGGGGCUCCCCAGAUCUUGAGCACCCGGAGCUUCUGAAACGACGUCUCCCGGAAGCGCAUCCUGGUGCCGUCAAACGCAUCGUAGAGCUGGAGCUUCACCAGCUGCUGCAGCUCCUCGAGGUAGCAGAACAUGUCCUCCUCGAGCUUUGA